UUAAGUUCAGCGGGUAUUCCUACCUGAUCCGAGGUCAACCUUGAGAAAGCGGCGCCAGGCGUCGCGCUUUACGGCGUGGCCGCGCCGCGUCCCGGUGCGAGGUGUGUGCUACUACGCAGAGGAAGCCGCGGCGUGACCGCCACUGGAUUUCGGGGCCGGCCGCCGGCGGGGCGGGGCCGAUCCCCAACGCCAGGCCGCCA
RNAcentral lists this unclassified non-coding RNA (200 nucleotides) under Hypomyces sp. RNAcentral's name for it is "partial internal transcribed spacer 2". Lineage: Eukaryota; Fungi; Ascomycota; Sordariomycetes; Hypocreales; Hypocreaceae. The record is from RNAcentral.